UUGCUUUCGGAACGACCUACAUGUUUAAUGAGUUACAAAGCAGAACUGAGGCUUUUGAUCCUGAUUUUUCUCUCAGCUCCAACAGGUAAAAGAUUGUCCUCACAGCGUUAGGGUCUGCACUGAAGAGCUGAAAACAAGGCUCAUGGGGAACUGCUAACUGAAAUACAAGGUUGUGGCUUUAAAAGGAGAAGUGAAUGUAUCAAGAUGUUACAGUUUGUCAGGAGGCAGAAAAGAAAGGUGUGGUGUGUUGACCUUGGCCAGCUGACCACAUUGCUCUCUGUUCCCCUCCUCACCAAGUCAGUGGGAGAAAACAAAAAUAAAAGCUGAUAGGCCAAGGUAAAUGUAGGGAGAUUACUUACCUAUUCCCAUUGUAAGCAAAACAGGCUCUGUGGGCCACCAGGCCGCCUCUGCUCUUAGCACUCAGUGCCCUCCUCCUUCCCUCAGCAUUUUUUUCUGGCCUCAGUGUUAGCAGAGUUGUUUUUGCUUUUCCUUUACUUUGCACUGCUCUCCAGUGUUUUGCCCUUUCUGGAACAUUCGCACAGCGGCACCAGCGAUUCUUCUGAUGGGCUUAGCUGUGGAACCAGCUGUGGUAGGCCAGGCCCUUCUCCUCACAGAACCCGUCCUGCAGCCCUGCUGAUGCUAGCACCUGGCUGCCCGCAACAAAAGGAAAGGCUUGGUACCACACUGCGGAAACCACAAUCUGCUGUCCUCAUGCCAAGAUCAUAUGGGUGCUGAGCCAAGAGAACAACACAUCCCAUUCUGUGGCUCAAUGUGUCCACUACCAGGUCAGUGCUGCAGUGAAAGUCUAUGUAAUCUACUUCUUGGCCUGUCUCAUGUGGUUUCUUCUAUUCAUGUGUUUUCAGCUGUGUAACCUUUUGAAAAAGCCAUCUUUCUGGUUGUGGUUUUGCGUGCAUGUGUUUGCCUCACCUAAAACAAUAGAUAGUAAUACAGUCAAAAUCUGCCUCUAGCUGUUAGAUUUCCACAGUAUAUAGUGUUUCUCCACAUUUUACAGACAUUUCUGAAAGUUUGACCUUUAUGAUACAAGUCAUGCUGUCCCACAGUACAGAUAGUAGCUUUUUCAGUAUCAGCACGAGUGCUUCUCAAACUGUUCUAUAUGAACUUGACAAGGAUUACCAGUGUAUUCUGUCAUUUUCAUGGAUUACUUUCUCCCAGGUAUUGUAUUUGAAAGACAGAAGUUACAAUUUUUCUUAGUAUAUUGACAUAUUUUUAACCUGAAGUAUCUUAAACCAAAAAGACCUGCACUCCAAAAAAGCAGCCCCACAGUUUCACUAUAAGUUUUUUUACAGUGAUAUCUAAAAGAGCUUGUGGUCAAGGUAAUCAAAUAUUACAGUUUUCUCCCCUCUACGUGUUGUAUAUGCUAUGGAAAUUUCCAAACAGCAAACGUUAGCCUAGGUGUUUCCUACAAUUACACCAUUGUAAAUAUUGCAUUGCUCAGUUUAGCUCCAGAUCUUCUGUCAAUCACAGUGUAGGGUUACUUGUAUUUUGCAGCACUUGACAGUAAAUGUUAAUGACAAAACAAUAAAAUUCUGAGAGAUAAGUAGCA
Numida meleagris (helmeted guineafowl) is the source of this 1564-nucleotide long non-coding RNA. The record is from Ensembl. Lineage: Eukaryota; Metazoa; Chordata; Aves; Galliformes; Numididae.